GCGAGGGGACAGCGAGGGGGCUCACCCAGCUCUUUCCCGUUGCAGCUGCAGGCGGAGGAGCCGGAGCAGCGACGAGGAGGCCGCUCAGAUCGGCCCCAAAAGGAUCAGGAAGGCGGCGAAGCGCGAGAUCCUCCUCUGCGACUUCGAGGGCUGCGGCAAAAUCUUCUCCAACCGCCAGUACCUGAACCACCACCAGAAGUACCAGCACGUGCACCAGAAAACCUUCACCUGCUCCGAGCCCUCCUGUGGGAAGUCCUUCAACUUCAAGAAGCACCUCAAGGAGCACGAGAAGCUGCACAGCGACAAGCGGGAUUACAUCUGCGAGUUCUGCGCCCGCUCCUUCCGCACCAGCAGCAACCUCAUCAUCCACCGGCGCAUCCACACCGGGGAGAAGCCGCUCCAGUG
Long non-coding RNA from Empidonax traillii (willow flycatcher), 405 nucleotides. RefSeq lists it as uncharacterized. The transcript has 4 exons. The record is from RefSeq and is a predicted model, not a curated record. Lineage: Eukaryota; Metazoa; Chordata; Aves; Passeriformes; Tyrannidae.